This 251-nucleotide ribosomal RNA is filed under the name uncultured bacterium. RNAcentral describes it as "partial 16S ribosomal RNA". It matches the Rfam family "Bacterial small subunit ribosomal RNA", at positions 524 to 775 of the family's 1533-position model. The record is from RNAcentral.
GACAGAGGAUGCAAGCGUUAUCCGGAAUGAUUGGGCGUAAAGCGUCUGUAGGUGGCUUUUUAAGUCCGCCGUCAAAUCCCAGGGCUCAACCCUGGACAGGCGGUGGAAACUACCAAGCUGGAGUACGGUAGGGGCAGAGGGAAUUUCCGGUGGAGCGGUGAAAUGCGUAGAGAUUGGAAAGAACACCAAUGCGGAAGACACUUACUGGCUAGUCGACUGCACUGAGAGACGAAAGCUAGGGUAGCAAUGGG